GUUUGAUUAGUUUACUUUAAAAAUUUUAAAUUGUGGAUUUAAAGAUAUAUUUAUAUAUCAAACC
This 64-nucleotide transfer RNA is filed under the name Tettigarcta crinita (hairy cicada). Its description in RNAcentral is "tRNA-His". The record is from RNAcentral. Lineage: Eukaryota; Metazoa; Arthropoda; Insecta; Hemiptera; Tettigarctidae.